RNAcentral lists this unclassified non-coding RNA (5369 nucleotides) under Ooceraea biroi (clonal raider ant). RNAcentral describes it as "uncharacterized LOC105284136, transcript variant X3". Lineage: Eukaryota; Metazoa; Arthropoda; Insecta; Hymenoptera; Formicidae. The record is from RNAcentral.
UGAAGAUGAGGCGCACGUUCUAUGGCGAUGGAGUAAGAACGCGCAAACUGUCGGAACGACGAAGCGCGGAUAGUCGAGCGGACGAUCGUGGGUUCAUCGUGGCCGGCGUCGGACUAGCGGAUUCUGUCUGGUCUCCAUCUGUCUCGUCGCCGGCGUUCCCGGCUCGAGCGCCCGAAUCGACGCGGCUACCACGCGCGGUGCCGUUAUGACAGAUCCGCGCGUCGCCGCAUAUCGUACGCGAUCCGGCGAGUCGUGUGGCGGUCCCCUCGCGCGAGUGAUAGAUCCCGUCGAAUAAUGGCGCGCCGGGACCCUGACGAGUAGCUCAGCUGACAGCCGCGUCAGACAAAAUGGUAGCCCGCCGUGGCCGUGCACCGGGAGGUGAUACGUUUCCGCAUACGUGAACUCGAGCCCGGGGCGGGACGGGCGGGACGGGGAGGUUUAGGCUACGAUGAGUACUGACAGUCAUGAUCAGACGAAACCUUGCAAAACACUCGCGAGGAGCGAAGAAGAGAGUGCGUUUGACGGUAAACGGAUUAAAAAAGAGCGCAGUGAUAUUUGCGUGGAGAAUGGCGACGCCGCCGUCGCCUCCACUGCCUCCUCCUCCGCCGCUACCGUCGCCACCUCCGUCACCACCGUCGUGGAGAAACGACAGCUGCCGGCCGGCAGGUUCGCGUCGAAUGGCUUUCACGGGGAUGGUGAUCUGCUGCAGGACCUUGUCACGACGAAGGUCACUACGCUGGCUAACCACGGAGCUUCCUCCAAGCAGGACAAGAUCCGGAUUAUGAUAGAGGAUGGCAUUAGCGAAGAAUCUAGGGUGCGCGUGGACGAAAUCUUCUCGCAGGUAGAACGACUCAAGAUAGAAGAAAGAUUAUUGUUGUACCUGAAACUUCCGUUACUGCUGACAAAUCCGAGUGGAACCGUCGAUCCGCUGAGGCAGCCGUUAAAUCCAUUAGGAAAUCGUUAUGAAAUUCAUCAGACUAUCAUGUGGAUUAAGACACACUUGGAAGAAGAUCCUGAUGUGUCUUUACCAAAGCAGGAAGUCUAUGACGAAUACAACAUGUAUUGCUUAAGGAAUUCUAUGAAACCGUUAUCGACGGCGGAUUUUGGAAAAGUCAUGAAACAGGUGUAUCCGCGAGUGCGCCCUCGAAGGUUGGGCACACGGGGCAACUCUCGCUACUGCUAUGCGGGUAUGCGCAAGCGAAUUAAAUUGGAUCCUCCAACACUGCCAAAGAUAUCUGGCUCUCAAACUGAGGAGCAUUCGGAGGAGAAUAUUACUGAGGAAAUGUUAGGCGCUGCGUCUACAUUGAUAAGAGAAUGGGCGGAGAGCGUGUUAGGCCUGAAAUUUCCAAAUUUGAGUGCCUUAGCGCGGCAUCUUGUUGAUAAUUUUCGUGUCGAUACUCGAUCUCUGGCUGCUGUAUGCAUUCUUUCUGCUGCGGUCGAGGCUAGUGCUUCAUCUAAUAAAGAGGCGAUCUCGGAUCUACCGACGACGCCUGUGAGCGGUAAGCCUGCCAAACUUCGAGAGGCGCAGUUACAGUUGCAACGGAAACUUCAGCAACGCGAGCAUAUAAAGGAUCAGAAGCAUCGUCAUCUUGACACAGUGACUAUUAUACAGAACAAAGAGAAAGCCGUCGACGGUAAAGGAAACGUUGGUAAGGGAAGCAAGAAGGUCAACAAGUCCAAUCAAUCACCUCAAGGUACAAACGCGUUAACGGCGACAACAGAGGCCGCGCAAAAGCUGAACGUGUCAGCGGUAGUUUACAACCGGCAAAAGAAAGUAACGAAGACUUGCAACCAACAGCAACAGCAGCAGCAGCAGUCCCGCAAUGUCUCCCAGGAGUCUAACUGUGAUAAUCUAGUGGUACAAUCGCGCGAAGAUGGACAGAGUAAUAGCAACUCCAGAGUAAUGUCGGGCGCGCAGCGCGAUGUCAAAGGUAAAAAUUCCAGGAAACGUGCCAAUAAUCCGAUUGUAACGCAGGAGUCCAGCCCCGAGAAGCAAACGAAGCUCACGGAGGAGAGCCCAGAGCAUUCCAGCGUUUUGCUACCCAAGUUAACGUCCAUCCGCGGCGGCAAGAUAUCGGUGAUACUAGCUAGCAAUCCGAAGUCUAUCAAGUGUAAAACGGUUGAGGCUGCGGACAGCCAGCUCGUUAAAAACUGUGAUAUUAACUCGUCGAGGAGUGCUUCAGCCACUGGCGCGGUGGAGGUGUCCUCAGGACUCCUUACGAGGGACCAGAUUCGCCUCUUGCAGGAUACGCCGGUCUUCAAGGACGAGAGGCUGCGCAGCAUCGACACAGACGCGCUGGACGAUUAUCUGAACGGCGGGAACAAUUCGCAGGAGCAGGAGGAGGAGUUAUUACAAUACUUUCAACAGAGCAGCUCGUCCAGUUCGGACGUGGAGACCGGCGUUGUCAGUUCCGACACCGAUCAGGUGUCCCGAUCAGACAAGGUAUCGCAGUUACGGUUGAUAUUACAACAGAAUCUGAAAGGAUCUACCGUCACCGCCGACCUGGUGCCCGCGACCGUCGUCCGGCAAUCCGUUGCUGCGGAGAAGCGCGAUUCCUCGCAGAAACACAAUCUUAUAUUACCGACACUUUUGAAUCAUCCUAAUCCAGGUAGCACGCGUCGUCGCGUCAGUUUUGAAACCAGUGUCGUCGAACAUGUACAGGAAACGACGACGCCGACCGUGGCCAACACUGUGCCGCAGAGUCCCAACACGCGGCGUAGGAUAUUCAACUUCACCCCGAUCUCACCCGGGCCGCAUUCUCCGAUCAACGGCCGUGCGUCCAAGUCGAACUCGGCGAACGCGAGUCCCUUCGUGUCGCCGCGCAACACUCCGGUGCCAAGAUCGCGCAGCAACCUGCAAGCCGGCAGCUCCAGAUCGCGCGGCCAAAAGAUGCUUUCCCGCUCGAUAUCGUGCAGUGUGCCGUACACCGUCAAAACGACAGACACUUUCAUUGUACCGACAUCCAGUGGAACGGAAUCCGCGCGACAUAUGCUGACGGUGGCAACGACCAAGUCGUCGGAGGUCGUUUUGAAGGGACCGCCGUGCACUGCGUUUUUGGACCUGACGCCUCAAAAGCAAUUGCUAAUCAAUUAUCCAAGCCAAGAGAAUCUGCAGGAAAUCAAGAAUGUGUACCAGAGUAGCCAGAAGAGCCAGCCAGCCCCGCCCGACCAAGAGAUCACGGAACUUCUCCACGCUGGCAGACACUUGAGCAACGAGCAAUUAUUUUAUCGCUCGCAGUCCGUGCCGUUGCACAGGAUGGUGAAUCCCGUGUCCUUGAUGUCACCGAUCUCCGCGCAGCACUGUUUGUCGACGGUGCAGAGUCAGAGCUUCAAUCCGUCGACGAACAGCUCCGUUGCGCCCACGCCAGUGCCGAGCGAGUACAAUGAUUUCGGAUCCACCAUCGGACAAGAGGGUGCGUAUCUGUUGGACGACGCGAAUUUCAUAUCGGACGACCAACAGUUUCUGAUGACGGACAAGGGAAUCACGUCGGAGAACAUCAAUAAUAUCCUGACGAUUUUGGACGAGGAAGGUCAGUCGAGUCUGCAAAUGCUGCCGGAACAGACGACGGAGGAAACGUUGAGCAGCGCGAUCGUUCUCGACGCCCUACCAAAUGCCAAUUUGAAUCUAUCGGAGGAGGACAUACUGGAUGCGUCCAGCAUUCUUGACGAUCCCGGCGGCGCGUUGCAGAAGAUAAUUCAAUCGCGCUCGUACCCGAACACGCCGCUGCCUGCACCGGUGUCGGCGUACGCGCCGUCGUACACCGAGGACAGCAACGGCUCCAGAUCGUAUCCGUCGACUCCUCUGCACACGGUGCAAUCCCAGGAGGUGUACCAGGAUCCAGGCGAGCCGAUACUCUCCAGUCCCAUCCUUAAUUCUCUCAGCUUACAGAGCGACACGACGAACGUUACUGUUGCCGCCGUUACCAGCACCGCGAGCGACGUUGACGUUGCCGCCGCUUCUUCCAACAGCCUUUGUCGAAACGUCGCCGAUCUUUUGGAGGCGAGUUUCCUCGGGGAGGCCGACGCAGAGACGGAUGAUUUGGACCCGCUCGCUAAUUUUGACGGCCUGCAAGAUGUAGACUCGUUGACGCCGCUAUUCAACGAAGUCGCGGAGCCUAAUUGUUGAGACCGUUACUUCGAUCUAUCAUAAGUUCGCAUUUGCACAGGGAGAGGUGUGUGAUAAAAAUGUGCUUUGGUCCGGUGGUUCUCAAUCAUAUUAUCUCAUAGAUCAUUUUAGAGUUAAACGACCAUUUUAAAGAGGAGCUUAGAAGCAUCAUGAUCUAUAAGUGAAUUUUAAUAAGUACUAAGAAAUUAUUAUUCGAUUUUAAGAUGUAGGAUAUUUCCGAUUAGAUUUAUCGUAUCUCUUACGAUAUUAUUCGACGGCGCGCGACGAACAGAGAAACUUCAAGUAUUUUAUUAUUUUUUAUUACAAAUUGUGUAUAGCUUUUUCUUGUAAAAGAAGUUACUUCACAGCUUAUGAUAUAGAAAUUAUAUUCAGUUACACGCAAUUUACUAUUCAGGCUACAUUGAUAACUGUUUAAUGUUUAUCGCAAUAAAGGGUAAUAUGCAAAAACUCAACAUUUCUAGACAAAUUCGCGAGAUUUUUAAAGCGAGUACAUGUUUUUAAAUUAUUAAAGAUUAUACUUCGUUAAGUAUAUGAUAUAUAUCAUUAAAGAGGAAUGUUUGUUUUUUCUAUGAAAUUUUCUUUUAUUCCUCGUCGAAACUUACGAGAUCCCCCUCGCGCAACGUGAAAUCGAUCGAAACGUAGUAUGUUUUAAACUCUGUAUGCUAUUCUCGAAUAUAUAUACUCAACACUUCUCAUGCGGAUAUAAGUUAGAAUAUUUUACCUAUAUCCGGAGAGUUCCGAGACUGCUUAUAAAUACGGGAUACAACCGUAUUCUGGUAUGCUAAGGAUUUCCCUCAAAUAGCAUAUUAUAAUUUGUAUGAUACUAGAGGAAAGAAAAAUAUUGAGAAACAAAAAUAUUCAGAUAUUUUUUACUAUAUAUUUAUUUGCGAUAAAUUCAGUCUUUGAACUUUUGUAUGUAGAUAUUCAAAUAUAUACUGGUCACUGUGUCUCAAAUGUUUCGAUGAUAAAUAAAGUUUAAUUUGUUUGUAUAUUUUGAUAUUUUAAGAAGGCACUAAAUUAUCGAUUCUUAUUAAUUUUUAUUGUAUUGUAAUCUCUAAUUAACAGACUAUUCAGUUAGUUAAUUUUUAAUUGUUAUUCCAUAGGACGGCUAGCUAUCCGAUAUCUAGACGAAACGUGACAAAAUCUAUAUACGUCUGAAUCUAAGAACUAAAAGGAUCCAAAGGGAAGUUUCCAGGUGCUGGAAGGGUUGAGAACCACUCGUGCGACUUUAAAAAAAAAAAAA